AGAACGAACGCUGGCGGCAGGCCUAACACAUGCAAGUCGAGCGCUGUAGCAAUACAGAGCGGCGCACGGGAGAGUAACGCGUGGGAACCUACCUUUUGGUUCGGGAUAACACCGGGAAACUGGUGCUAAUACCGGAUAAGCCCUUCGGGGGAAAGAUUUAUUGCCGAAAGAUGGGCCCGCGUUGGAUUAGCUAGUUGGUGAGGUAAUGGCUCACCAAGGCUACGAUCCAUAGCUGGUCUGAGAGGAUGAUCAGCCUCACUGGGACUGAGACACGGCCCAGACUCCUACGGGAGGCAGCAGUGGGGAAUAUUGGACAAUGGGGGAAACCCUGAUCCAGCCAUGCCGCGUGAAUGAUGAAGGCCUUCGGGUUGUAAAGUUCUUUUGACAGGGACGAGUGAUGACGGUACCUGUAGAAUAAGCUCCGGCUAACUUCGCGCCAGCAGCCGC
Molecule: ribosomal RNA, 447 nt
Filed under: uncultured bacterium
Lineage: Bacteria
Description: SSU rRNA
Rfam family: Bacterial small subunit ribosomal RNA
Source: RNAcentral